RNAcentral lists this ribosomal RNA (276 nucleotides) under uncultured Acetivibrio sp. Its description in RNAcentral is "partial 16S ribosomal RNA". It matches the Rfam family "Bacterial small subunit ribosomal RNA", at positions 82 to 355 of the family's 1533-position model. The record is from RNAcentral. Lineage: Bacteria; Bacillati; Bacillota; Clostridia; Acetivibrionales; Acetivibrionaceae.
UUAAAUUAACUUAGUGGCGGACGGGCGAGUAACACGUGAGCAACCUGCCUCUUACAGGGGAAUAACAACGGGAAACCGUUGCUAAUACCGCAUAACAUGUUGAAAGGGCAUCCUUUUAACAUCAAAGGAGCAAUCCGGUAAGAGAUGGGCUCGCGUCCGAUUAGCUAGUUGGUAGGGUAACGGCCUACCAAGGCGACGAUCGGUAGCCGGACUGAGAGGUCGAACGGCCGCAUUGGGACUGAGACACGGCCCAGACUCCUACGGGAGGCAGCAGCU